Brienomyrus brachyistius is the source of this 373-nucleotide long non-coding RNA. RefSeq lists it as uncharacterized. The transcript has 3 exons. NCBI's taxonomy places the organism in Eukaryota, Metazoa, Chordata, Actinopteri, Osteoglossiformes, Mormyridae. The record is from RefSeq and is a predicted model, not a curated record.
UGUUUGGCAGGCUCUCCACGGCUCGCACUAUCCUGCGUGCCAGACCUCCUUACCUCCAUCGCCGUGACGUCUUGGCUCGGGCUGGCGUGAGGCCGUGAGGCGGAACGGCGCGGGCAGCCUCGGCGGCAGUCCCCUGCCGCGAGUACCGCUCGGUGCUGUUCCACAAGCUCGAGUGCGAACCCGCGAAAGAGCAGCAGCUGUUUGAUGGGCAACAGGUGUGGGAGAUGGAAGACAUGGCCGUCAUUGGAGCGGGAAGCUCUGCGAACAACCUCCUGCCUCUCGUAUCGACUGAAAGUCCCUGCCUCGCUGAGGAGAAGCAUCUCUACGCAUUGGCCAGAGGCAUCAUGUGAUCCAGUGUCAAGUUCCAUGAAGC